RNAcentral lists this ribosomal RNA (460 nucleotides) under uncultured bacterium. RNAcentral describes it as "partial 16S ribosomal RNA". It matches the Rfam family "Bacterial small subunit ribosomal RNA", at positions 338 to 795 of the family's 1533-position model. The record is from RNAcentral.
CCUACGGGAGGCAGCAGUGAGGAAUAUUGGUCAAUGGACGAGAGUCUGAACCAGCCAAGUAGCGUGAAGGAUGACUGCCCUAUGGGUUGUAAACUUCUUUUAUAAAGGAAUAAAACGAGGCACGUGUGCCUUUUUGCAUGUACUUUAUGAAUAAGGAUCGGCUAACUCCGUGCCAGCAGCCGCGGUAAUACGGAGGAUCCGAGCGUUAUCCGGAUUUAUUGGGUUUAAAGGGAGCGUAGAUGGGUUGUUAAGUCAGUUGUGAAAGUUUGCGGCUCAACCGUAAAAUUGCAAUUGAUACUGGGAGUCUUGAGUACAGGUGAGGUAGGCGGAAUUCGUGGUGUAGCGGUGAAAUGCUUAGAUAUCACGAAGAACCCCGAUUGCGAAGGCAGCUUACUAGACUGUGACUGACAUUGAUGCUCGAAAGUGUGGGUAUCAAACAGGAUUAGAUACCCGAGUAGUC